RNAcentral lists this ribosomal RNA (415 nucleotides) under uncultured bacterium. Its description in RNAcentral is "bacterial SSU rRNA". It matches the Rfam family "Bacterial small subunit ribosomal RNA", at positions 945 to 1359 of the family's 1533-position model. The record is from RNAcentral.
UUUAAUUCGAAGCAACGCGAAGAACCUUACCAGGUCUUGACAUCCCGCUGACCGCCCUGGAGACAGGGCUUCCCCUUCGGGGGCAGCGGUGACAGGUGGUGCAUGGUUGUUGUCAGCUCGUGUCGUGAGAUGUUGGGUUAAGUCCCGCAACGAGCGCAACCCUUGAUCUUAGUUGCCAGCAUUUAGUUGGGCACUCUAAGGUGACUGCCGGUGACAAACCGGAGGAAGGUGGGGAUGACGUCAAAUCAUCAUGCCCCUUAUGACCUGGGCUACACACGUGCUACAAUGGAUGGUACAAAGGGCUGCAAGACCGCGAGGUUUAGCCAAUCCCAUAAAACCAUUCUCAGUUCGGAUUGCAGGCUGCAACUCGCCUGCAUGAAGCUGGAAUCGCUAGUAAUCGCGGAUCAGCAUGCCG